Danio rerio (zebrafish) is the source of this 2099-nucleotide long non-coding RNA. The record is from Ensembl. NCBI's taxonomy places the organism in Eukaryota, Metazoa, Chordata, Actinopteri, Cypriniformes, Danionidae.
UUAACAAUAAUGUGAUAAAUUAUUAAAAUGGCUAUUGCACUAUAAUAGAAUAACAUGACAAUAUUCUUCUUUAAAAUACCUUUAAUAUAAUGUAAUACAGUAAGAGUGCCUCUGUGUUCAGCUUAUCGCAGGUCUCUGUCUGGAUGGUGGUGAGUGCAGUUUCCCCACACCAUAUCUAUGGUAAUGACCCGUGGCGUCAGGUGGGGCGGCUGUCUCACUCGCCCUCGCUCAGCUCAGUCACUCUGACCAUGACGAAUCCCUGCCCGAGGUUCUCUCACUCUUCAGUGAAGUUCAGUGGUGAUGCUUCAAUUGCUUAUCGCAGGUCUCUGUCUGGAUGGUGAUGAGUGCAGUUUCCCCACACCAUAUCUAUGGUAAUGACCCGUGGCGUCAGGUGGGGCGGCUGUCUCACUCGCCCUCGCUCAGCUCAGUCACUCUGACCAUGGCGAAUCCCUGCCCGAGGUUCUCUCACUCUUCAGUGAAGUUCAGUGGUGAUGCUUCAAUUGGUGGGUGACGCUGGGCUGGGGUCCAGUUCAGCUUCUUGUGGGACAGUGAGAGCCAGAGUUUACUUUAUUGGGAAUUACUUUUUUAAAAAUAUAUAUAUUGUAUGUAAUGUUAAGGAAAAUGCCACAUACUAAAAAUCUCAUCGUUCAUGAAGUAUAACAUUUAAUACACUGUAAAAAAUGUUGGGUUUCACAGUCGAUUUGUGUUGGGACAAUAUGAAGGAAUAAAAAUGGCUUAAUAGUUCAAAUGGGUUAAACAUGAAGCAAUUAAAGACUUUUAGCUUAUUUUAAAUCAGUUCAUAUAUUAACCUUUUUUUUGAACGAAAAAAUGGUGAUUAAUAAUUUUAUUCUCUCUCAUGGUGGUAAUAAAGACAAAAAUAUAUAAAGUAAAUAUGUAAAGUAAUCAACAAAUAUAAAACGUGUAAGGUGAUAAGUAAAUAAUACAUGAAAAAACAAUAUAUAUAUAUAUAUAUAUAUAAUAAAUGCAUUAAAGUAAAUUAUACUGUUAAUAUCUGCAAAAUAAAAUGUUUAAAUUAUAGCUGCUGUUGUGUCAUUUGUGUGGCUGUGCUCUGAUGUGAGCGGAUUAACAAGUUGAUGUACUUAAUGUAUUAAAGAAACAUGUUUUAUGAAUAAACUUUCCACGAUUUAUGCAAAGAUAUGUUGGCAAUUUAAAUGGUUUAUUGUAUUAUAUAUUAUAUAUUAUGUAAAACAUUGUUCUUAUUUUAGGUUAUUGUAAUGUAUUAAUGUAAUUGAAAUAAUAGUCAUGAGAUUUACAGUUAUUUAAGUUAUUUAGAAAUGUGCAAUGCUUUAAUGUUCCAAUGUUUUAAUCACCAGGAAAGAAUUUUUUUUUUUUUUUUUUUUUGCUUUUUAAUCUUUCUAAAUUAACAGAAAACUUAUGUUGUUGUGUUAUUGUGGGAUUGUUGAGUGUAUGCAACUGUCUUAUGCAGGGUUAAAGAAAUUUCCUUUGUGUCAGGCAACGGACAAAAUUGAAACUAAAGCUAAACAGUUUGCUCCUGGCUAAGAUUCAUUUUUAUGUAAAUUAUUUAAUAAUUUUUGUUAAGCUGUUGUUUAUUUUUUUUGUCUUGUUGUUGAAUAUGUACAAUAUUUGUUGUAUGGGUGUGAAUUGAGGUAAAGUUGCUUUUAUAUUUCGCACAUUCUUUCAUUGUCAAAUUGACACUCGCUGUAUUGUUUACCAUGGUACUCUGAAUAUAUUGGGGUAAAGUUGGUUUUAUAUUAGCUCAUUAGUUCAGUGACAACUUGUGAUAUGCUCCCUCUAUUUUUUAUCAUGGUACUUUGAAUAUAGUAAGGGAACGUUGGUUUUAUAUUCACACAUUUGUUCAGUAACAACUUUACACACUCCCUAUAUUGUUUACCCUGGUACUUUAAAUAUUCAGGCUGAAAUCACAUGCAAGAAUGACUUCAAAACCCGAGCACUAUUUAUUUGACUCUUACCACUGUGGUACUUUGCUAGUCAUUGGCUGCUAAUAAGAUUUCACUAUUUAAAAUGAGCAAAUAUUACUUUUUUAAACUUAAAUUGAGAAAGUGUGAAUAUAAAACUAACUUUACCUCAAUUAGCUAUGCCCUAGUAUCAUAUUUUAA